RNAcentral lists this ribosomal RNA (450 nucleotides) under uncultured bacterium. RNAcentral's name for it is "partial 16S ribosomal RNA". It matches the Rfam family "Bacterial small subunit ribosomal RNA", at positions 354 to 796 of the family's 1533-position model. The record is from RNAcentral.
GUGGGGAAUAUUGGACAAUGGGCGAAAGCCUGAUCCAGCCAUGCCGCGUGUGUGAAGAAGGUCUUCGGAUUGUAAAGCACUUUAAGUUGGGAGGAAGGGCAGUAAGUUAAUACCUUGCUGUUUUGACGUUACCGACAGAAUAAGCACCGGCUAACUUCGUGCCAGCAGCCGCGGUAAUACGAAGGGUGCAAGCGUUAAUCGGAAUUACUGGGCGUAAAGCGCGCGUAGGUGGUUUUGUAAGUUGGAGGUGAAAUCCCCGGGCUCAACCUGGGAACUGCCUCCAAAACUGCAUGACUAGAGUACAGUAGAGGGUAGUGGAAUUUCCUGUGUAGCGGUGAAAUGCGUAGAUAUAGGAAGGAACACCAGUGGCGAAGGCGACUACCUGGACUGAUACUGACACUGAGGUGCGAAAGCGUGGGGAGCAAACAGGAUUAGAUACCCCAGUAGUCC